CACGUAGGCGGACUUGUCAGUCAGGGGUGAAAUCCCGGGGCUCAACCUCGGAACUGCCUCUGAUACAGCAAGCCUUGAGUCCGGAAGAGGUGGGUGGAAUUCCUAGUGUAGAGGUGAAAUUCGUAGAUAUUAGGAAGAACACCGGUGGCGAAGGCGGCCCACUGGUCCGGUACUGACGCUGAGGUGCGAAAGCGUGGGGAGCAAACA
Molecule: ribosomal RNA, 207 nt
Filed under: uncultured bacterium
Lineage: Bacteria
Description: partial 16S ribosomal RNA
Rfam family: Bacterial small subunit ribosomal RNA
Source: RNAcentral